RNAcentral lists this ribosomal RNA (433 nucleotides) under uncultured bacterium. RNAcentral describes it as "partial 16S ribosomal RNA". It matches the Rfam family "Bacterial small subunit ribosomal RNA", at positions 29 to 507 of the family's 1533-position model. The record is from RNAcentral.
AACGAACGCUGGCGGCAUGCCUAACACAUGCAAGUCGAACGAGACCUUCGGGUCUAGUGGCGCACGGGUGCGUAACGCGUGGGAACCUGCCCUUAGGUUCGGAAUAACUCCCCGAAAGGGGUGCUAAUACCGGAUAAUGUCUUCGGACCAAAGAUUUAUCGCCUUUGGAUGGGCCCGCGUUGGAUUAGCUAGUUGGUAGGGUAAAAGCCUACCAAGGCGACGAUCCAUAGCUGGUCUGAGAGGAUGAUCAGCCACACUGGGACUGAGACACGGCCCAGACUCCUACGGGAGGCGGCAGUGGGGAAUAUUGGACAAUGGGCGAAAGCCUGAUCCAGCAAUGCCGCGUGAGUGAUGAAGGCCUUAGGGUUGUAAAGCUCUUUUACCCGGGAUGAUAAUGACAGUACCGGGAGAAUAAGCUCCGGCUAACUCCGAG